Molecule: ribosomal RNA, 726 nt
Filed under: uncultured Serratia sp.
Lineage: Bacteria; Pseudomonadati; Pseudomonadota; Gammaproteobacteria; Enterobacterales; Yersiniaceae
Description: bacterial SSU rRNA
Rfam family: Bacterial small subunit ribosomal RNA
Source: RNAcentral
AACAGGAUUAGAUACCCUGGUAGUCCACGCUGUAAACGAUGUCGAUUUGGAGGUUGUGCCCUUGAGGCGUGGCUUCCGGAGCUAACGCGGUUAAAUCGACCGCCUGGGGAGUACGGCCGCAAGGUUAAAACUCAAAUGAAUUGACGGGGGCCCGCACAAGCGGUGGAGCAUGUGGUUUAAUUCGAUGCGACGCAAAGGAACCUUACCUACUCUUGACAUCCAGAGAACUUUCCAGAGAUGGAUUGGUGCCUUCGGGAACUCUGAGACAGGUGCUGCAUGGCUGUCGUCAGCUCGUGUUGUGAAAUGUUGGGUUAAGUCCCGCAACGAGCGCAACCCUUAUCCUUUGUUGCCAGCGGUUCGGCCGGGAACUCAAAGGAGACUGCCAGUGAUAAACUGGAGGAAGGUGGGGAUGACGUCAAGUCAUCAUGGCCCUUACGAGUAGGGCUACACACGUGCUACAAUGGCGUAUACAAAGAGAAGCGACCUCGCGAGAGCAAGCGGACCUCAUAAAGUACGUCGUAGUCCGGAUUGGAGUCUGCAACUCGACUCCAUGAAGUCGGAAUCGCUAGUAAUCGUAGAUCAGAAUGCUACGGUGAAUACGUUCCCGGGCCUUGUACACACCGCCCGUCACACCAUGGGAGUGGGUUGCAAAAAGAAGUAGGUAGCUUAACCUUCGGGAGGGCGCUUACCACUUUGUGAUUCAUGACUGGGGUGAAGUCGUAACAA